UGAAGUAAAAAAUCGUAACAAGGUUUCCGUAGGUGAACCUGCGGAAGGAUCAUUACCGAGUGCGGGUCCUUUGGGCCCAACCUCCCAUCCGUGUCUAUUGUACCCUGUUGCUUCGGCGGGCCCGCCGCUUGUCGGCCGCCGGGGGGGCGCCUCUGCCCCCCGGGCCCGUGCCCGCCGGAGACCCCAACACGAACACUGUCUGAAAGCGUGCAGUCUGAGUUGAUUGAAUGCAAUCAGUUAAAACUUUCAACAAUGGAUCUCUUGGUUCCGGCAUCGAUGAAGAACGCAGCGAAAUGCGAUAACUAAUGUGAAUUGCAGAAUUCAGUGAAUCAUCGAGUCUUUGAACGCACAUUGCGCCCCCUGGUAUUCCGGGGGGCAUGCCUGUCCGAGCGUCAUUGCUGCCCUCAAGCCCGGCUUGUGUGUUGGGUCGCCGUCCCCCUCUCCGGGGGGACGGGCCCGAAAGGCAGCGGCGGCACCGCGUCCGAUCCUCGAGCGUAUGGGGCUUUGUCACAUGCUCUGUAGGAUUGGCCGGCGCCUGCCGACGUUUUCCAACCAUUCUUUCCAGGUUGACCUCGGAUCAGGUAGGGAUACCCGCUGAACUUAAGCAUAUCAAUAAGGCCGGAGAAA
This 627-nucleotide ribosomal RNA is filed under the name Aspergillus niger. RNAcentral describes it as "eukaryotic LSU rRNA". The stretch from base 242 to 395 matches the Rfam family "5.8S ribosomal RNA". Lineage: Eukaryota; Fungi; Ascomycota; Eurotiomycetes; Eurotiales; Aspergillaceae. The record is from RNAcentral.